RNAcentral lists this ribosomal RNA (253 nucleotides) under uncultured bacterium. RNAcentral describes it as "partial 16S ribosomal RNA". It matches the Rfam family "Bacterial small subunit ribosomal RNA", at positions 524 to 776 of the family's 1533-position model. The record is from RNAcentral.
UACGUAGGCAGCGAGCGUUGUUCGGAAUUACUGGGCGUAAAGCGUGCGUAGGCGGUUCUCCAAGUCCGUUGUGAAAGCCCCGGGCUCAACCUGGGAAUGGCAGUGGAAACUAGGGGACUGGAAUCUGGCAGAGGGGGGUGGAAUGCCGCGUGUAGCAGUGAAAUGCGUAGAGAUGCGGCGGAACACCGAUGGCGAAGGCAGCCCCCUGGGCUGAGAUUGACGCUCAGGCACGAAAGCUAGGGGAGCAAACAGG